This is a non-coding RNA of Bemisia tabaci, 707 nucleotides long. NCBI's taxonomy places the organism in Eukaryota, Metazoa, Arthropoda, Insecta, Hemiptera, Aleyrodidae. The record is from RefSeq and is a predicted model, not a curated record.
AUGUGCACGCUUGGUGCGCGCAUUUCAGCAUAAAAUCCUUACUUUUACAAUGGUUGGCCUUUCAUUCUGUUAGUUUUUUAAAGCAGAACUGUGUAAGAUUUGCCUGUUUUUGUAUGAGAACACUGGGUGUUUCGUGACGAACCAUCGUAUGUUUGCGAAAGUGAAAACUUGGUACCUAAUUCAAAUUCCUUUUGUAGGAUAUUCCCUUGCCAAAAUCUGAGCAGUGACUUCUGUUGGAGGACAGCUGAGUGCUCAGAACGGAGCAGUUGCUGUUGAUUUAUUGGACAAAACACAUCUGCAAACAUCAAGCUGCAGGCAAACCAUAGCUAAGAACCCUGUCUGCUGGGCUGCAGGUGACACUGUUACCUACCCAACAUAUCUGAUGGGCAUUCCCCGAUGCUUCACCCUGAGGAUGCGCUUCCAAGAGGGGUUUCUUUUGGAAAGUAAUGAAAAUGGGAGACUUUUUCAUUCUUGAUCUGAUGACUCAAAUGCCUCUCUUGUCACAUUUCAUACAACCAGGUGCAUUCUCUCUACGAAUUUCAUAGAAUGGCCGUUCUAAAAUCCUCUCUCUAUAAUGUCUUGACAAUCUUUUGCACUGCUGUGUGAUAUGACACCGCAACACUUGACUUUCAGCUGGGAUUCAUUCUGGGAGUAUAAUUUGUCUGCAUGUCAAGUGCAAGUCAGUAUUUGUGCCUUUGAGCUUUUUC